AGACAUCUUAUGUAAAAUCCACA
This 23-nucleotide non-coding RNA is filed under the name Cricetulus griseus (Chinese hamster). Lineage: Eukaryota; Metazoa; Chordata; Mammalia; Rodentia; Cricetidae. The record is from RNAcentral.